UCUGGACUGACACUGACACUGAGGUGCGAAAGCGUGGGUAGCAAACAGGAUUAGAUACCCUGGUAGUCCACGCCGUAAACGAUGUCGACUAGCCGUUGGGUCCCUUGAGGACUUUGUGGCGCAGUUAACGCGAUAAGUCGACCGCCUGGGGAGUACGGCCGCAAGGUUAAAACUCAAAUGAAUUGACGGGGGCCCGCACAAGCGGUGGAGCAUGUGGUUUAAUUCGAUGCAACGCGAAGAACCUUACCUACCCUUGACAUCGUGCGAACUUGGUAGAGAUACCUUGGUGCCUUCGGGAGCGCACAGACAGGUGCUGCAUGGCUGUCGUCAGCUCGUGUUGUGAAAUGUU
Molecule: ribosomal RNA, 349 nt
Filed under: Halomonas urumqiensis
Lineage: Bacteria; Pseudomonadati; Pseudomonadota; Gammaproteobacteria; Oceanospirillales; Halomonadaceae
Description: bacterial SSU rRNA
Rfam family: Bacterial small subunit ribosomal RNA
Source: RNAcentral